GGCCAAGUUUUAAACUCAGGCAGUCUGGCUAUGAAGGUUCAUGUCUUCAAUCACUAUGCUGUUCUGCCCUCAUGCCUUCAUAAGGAUCAUAAAUGCUGCCCAUUCUAGUGAUCAUUAAUGUGUUUCACAAAAAUUAGUCCCGCUUGGAUCACAUCCUAUGUGGCAGCUACAGCCUUUACUGUGGUCUACAUCUCCAUUGCUAUGGUUUGAAUGAUGAUCUCCCCUCCAAAAUUCAUGUUGAAAUGUAAUCCCCAGUGCACAAAUAUUAAAAGGUGUGGUCUUUAGGAGGUGGCCUUUGGGAGCUUGGUCAUUCAUACAUGGGAUUAGCACCUUUAUAAAAGGACUUAGAUUGAAGAGAGGCUCUCUUGACUUUGCAACCCUUCCACCAUGUAAGGACACAGUGCUCUUCCCUUCUGGAGGAUCCAGAAACAAGGCGCCAUGUUGGAAGCAAAGACCAGACCCUUUCCAGACACCAAACCUGCUGGCACCUUAAUCAUGGAAUUUCUAGCCUCCAGAUGGUGAGAAAUAAGUUUCUGUUCUUCAUAAAUUACCCAGUCUUAGGUAUUUUUUUAUAGCAGCAUAAAUGGACUGAGACAUUCAUCUUUCAAAACAUUUCUUUAGUUUUAUUCUUAAAAUCUCCUUCCAAAUCAAUUUUCUUUUUUUCCCCCUCAGUGGCCAUUCUAGCCUUAAUAGUCUUGAAUGAGCCUGACUACCUUAAUUUCCCUUUAAGACUCACCUUGGCAUUAAGAUAAAUCAAUGUCUAUAUUAAACUGUAGCUCUAUUACUUUUCUGUUACCUUUUUAAACAUGUUUCCCUAGGCCAAAAACAUUUCUUCUCCUAUAAGGGCAUCUUGUUGGAGAACUCUAGAAAUCAGUCUCCACAAAACAUGGGAAAAUCCCAGAGGCCACAGAAGUGUCAAAUGGGAGAUUUUAUAUAUGAUAUGCUAGGCAACUUUGGUCAAACUGUGCAUUAGCAAGGAGCUAGCUGAGUGUAGUCCCUGAAUAUGAAUGCAGAUGCUGUAGAGCUGUGUCACAAAAGCACUUGUCUUCACAAAACACACAAAAAGUUUUAGCAAACAUGCAGUUACCUAGUGUGAUGGGCCGGGUGUGGUGGCCCACACCUGUAAUCCUAACACUUUGGGAGGCUAAGGCGGGCAGAUUGCUUGAGCCCAGGAGUUUGAGACCAGCCUGGAAAACAUGAUGAAACCCUGUCUCUACAAAAAAUGCAAAAAAAUAAUCCAAGUGUGGUGGUGCACACCUGUAGUCCCAGCAACUUGGGAGGCCAAGAUGGGAGGAUCACCUAAGUCCAGGAGGUUGAGGCUGCAGUAAACUGUGAUUGCACCACUGUACUCUAGCCUGGGCAACAGAGCAAAACCUCAUCUCAAAAAUAAAUAAAUAAAUAAUUGAAAUAAAGUGUGAAGGACACCCGUAGCUGAUCUGACCAAUCUUAUCUAUUUCUAUCCCUUCCAUAAGACAUAAAAAACGUAAUUUUUUUUGAGACAGGGUCUCCUUCUGUCACCCAAGCUGGACUACAGUGAUGGAAUCAUGGCUUACUGCAGCCUCAACCUCCAGGGCUCAAGUGAUCCUCCCAUCUGAUCCUCCCAUCUCAUCCUCCUGAGUAGCUAGGACUACAGGUGUGCACCACCACACUCAGCAAAUUUUUGUGUUUUUUGUAGAGAUGGGGUUUUGCCAUGUUGCCAAGUCUGAUCUCAAACUCCCGGGCUCAAGGGAUUUGCCCACCUCAGCCUCUCAAAGUGCUGGGAGUACAGGCAUGAGCCACUGCAUCCAGCCAUAAAAAAAACAUUUCUAACAACCAAGUGAAUUAAUAAAAUGUGCAGGUCCAGAUGGAAUGAUAGUUUCCUCCACCCUAUCCCAGAUGCUUGAAAAAUAUCUUGAGAAAUCUGGUGUAAUGUCACAGAAGCUUUGAAAACGGAUUCCUAGACUUAGGAACCACUGUCUUCUAAAGAUGAUUUUGUGACACUCCUUUUUGACUAUAAAUGGAAUCAUCUUGAAAAAAAGGUUAUGCUGCAUUUUUCUGAAACAACUAUCACAAUUUAGCAAUGCAACUAAAAACUUAUAUGACAUUUGACCAGUGUCCCAACCUAUGUCCUGGGACUUGUGGGUAUUUACUCCAGGAAACAAGAAAAAAUGCUAUAUCAUUAAGUAUCUUAAUUGCAAACAUAUGUCAUAGAAAAAAAAAUUAGAAGUUAUGCUCAACAUUGUGGUAUAGUUGUUCAAAUUAUUGAAUGUACUUAAGUGCAUUUUAUGCAAAUAUAAAGAUUUCAUAAAAGUAUGAAAUAAUGUUAAAGAUAUGGUAUAAAUAAAAUAUAUGCGA
RNAcentral lists this long non-coding RNA (2334 nucleotides) under Homo sapiens (human). RNAcentral's name for it is "HSALNT0113289". Lineage: Eukaryota; Metazoa; Chordata; Mammalia; Primates; Hominidae. The record is from RNAcentral.